UGCUAGAAACUGAACAAUAUUGGAGAGGAUGUUCUCCCUUUAAAUGUUUGAUGUCUAAGCUUAUUAUUUACCACUUUGGUUGUACUAUGCUCCAUCUUAUAUUUAUCUUAUCAAUUUUAUUUAUCUUAUCCACCUAAUCUAGCAAAAGCAUAUCACAGUUCAGAAAUCUAGCAAAUACAAUUAUUCUUUUAGUUUGAACCGUUGCCACAAAAUGUAAUAAAUACAUUUAUUCAUUAACUGCUGCAUUUCAGGUCGGAAAGCUGUUGCAUUUCCACCGCUCUUUGCCACUGUCCGUCACUCUCCUCGUUCCGCCACCACUUUUCUCUCAAGCUUUAAGAAAUAGCUCAAGGAGCAUCUGUUGGACAUUCCAAUGAUCCUUCACUCUCCGGUGAUCAUCCACCACUGGAUAAUGAGGAAGGAGAAUCGACGACACAUAAUAUAGAAGGGGAUGAUACAACAAGUAACUCCCUAAACGAGUCAGGUGAAGAAGAGCCUACACAUGAUGCACGUGGCCGCCAAUUCAUACAUCUUAGGGGGAAAUACUUGCAUCCUUCCGGUGUCGUGGCAAGCAUAUGUACGUAUAAUUUCAAGCAGAUAGUUGACCCGAAUGGAUUUAGCCAGAAAACUCUAACUGAGGAAUACAUUAACCUUUUAAGAAAUCUGCUAAUUGUGAGGCAUAUGAUCAAGACGAGUGUAAGAAAGCUUUGUUAGCAAGUGUAAAAUCAGAUACGGGGAUUUCAUUAGCUAUUAUAAAAAGAAGACAAAGAAACCUUCUUUUUACACAGAUGCCCAAUGGUCGAAUUACCAAAAAGGCUGGAAUUUACCCGAGAGUAUUGAAUCUUUUGAGAGGUUCUCGGCAAACCGUAGACAAGGGCUUGAGACUGCGCUUGGCACACAUUGUAAUGGAUGUAUAUCAUUUGCGGAGACAGCAGCAAAAAUGGUAAAAAUUAUAAUUGUAAUGUCCGUUUUUUUA
This is a long non-coding RNA of Salvia splendens (bonfire salvia), 973 nucleotides long. RefSeq lists it as uncharacterized. The transcript has 4 exons. NCBI's taxonomy places the organism in Eukaryota, Viridiplantae, Streptophyta, Magnoliopsida, Lamiales, Lamiaceae. The record is from RefSeq and is a predicted model, not a curated record.